Molecule: ribosomal RNA, 467 nt
Filed under: uncultured bacterium
Lineage: Bacteria
Description: partial 16S ribosomal RNA
Rfam family: Bacterial small subunit ribosomal RNA
Source: RNAcentral
GACGAACGCUGGCGGCGUGCUUAACACAUGCAAGUCGAACGGAAAGGCCUCUUUCGGGGGGUACUCGAGUGGCGAACGGGUGAGUAACACGUGAGUAACCUGCCCUUGACUUUGGGUUAACUCCGGAAAAUGGGGGUUAUAACCGAAAAGAGGCUCUGCUGCAUGGUGGGGGGUGGGAAAGUUUCGGCGGUUGGGGAUGGCCUUGCGGCUUUUCAGCUUGUUGGUGGGGUAUUGGCUUACCAAGGCUUUGACGGGUAGCCGGCCUGGGAGGGUGACCGGCCACAUUGGGACUGAGAUACGGCCCAGACUCCUACGGGAGGCAGCAGGGGGGAAUAUUGCACAAUGGGUGGAAGCCUGAUGCAGCAACGCCGUGUGCGGGAUGACGGCCUUCGGGUUGUAAACCGCUUUCGCUCAUGACGAAGCUUUGUGUGACGGUAGUGGGUAAAGAAGCACCGGCUAACUACGUG